GACAGCAGCAGCCGCGGUAAUACGAGGGGGGCAAGCGUUGUUCGGAAUUAUUGGGCGUAAAGGGUGCGUAGGCGGUUUGGCAAGUUUGGUGUGAAAUCUUCGGGCUCAACUCGAAGUCUGCAUCGAAAACUGCCGGGCUUGAGUAUGGGAGAGGUGAGUGGAAUUUCCGGUGUAGCGGUGAAAUGCGUAGAUAUCGGAAGGAACACCUGUGGCGAAAGCGGCUCACUGGACCAUAACUGACGCUGAUGCACGAAAGCUAGGGGAGCAAACAGGAUUAGAUACCCCUGUAGUCCCUGUCUCUUAUAC
This 306-nucleotide ribosomal RNA is filed under the name uncultured bacterium. RNAcentral describes it as "partial 16S ribosomal RNA". It matches the Rfam family "Bacterial small subunit ribosomal RNA", at positions 507 to 807 of the family's 1533-position model. The record is from RNAcentral.